GAUGAACGCUGGCGGCGUGCCUAAUACAUGCAAGUCGAGCGAACGGACGAGAAGCUUGCUUUUCUGAUGUUAGCGGCGGACGGGUGAGUAACACGUGGAUAACCUACCUAUAAGACUGGGAUAACUUCGGGAAACCGGAGCUAAUACCGGGUAAUAUUUUCAACGGCAUGGUUCAAAAGUGAAUGACGGUCUGGCUGUCACUUAUAGAUGGAUCCGCGUUGGAUUAGCGAGUUGGUAAGGUAACGGCUUACCAAGGCAACGAUGCAUAGCCGAGCUGAGAGUGUGAUCGGCCCCCCUGGAACUGAGACACCGUCCAGGCUCCUACGGGAGGCAGCAGUAGGGAAUAUUCCGCCAAGGGCGCAAGCCUGACGGAGCAACGCCGCGUGAGUGAUGAAGGUCUUCGGAUCGUAAAACUCUGUUAUUAGGGAAGAACAUAUGUGUAAGUAACUAUGCACAUCUUGACGGUACCUAAUCAGAAAGCCACGGCUAACUACGUG
RNAcentral lists this ribosomal RNA (497 nucleotides) under uncultured bacterium. RNAcentral describes it as "partial 16S ribosomal RNA". It matches the Rfam family "Bacterial small subunit ribosomal RNA", at positions 28 to 507 of the family's 1533-position model. The record is from RNAcentral.